Molecule: non-coding RNA, 170 nt
Organism: Desulfobacterales bacterium C00003104
Lineage: Bacteria; Pseudomonadati; Thermodesulfobacteriota; Desulfobacteria; Desulfobacterales
Source: Rfam
GCAGUUGUUAGGAAGGGGUUGAACGAAGCUGCAGAGCAGAGUUGUGAGCCUACGGACAGAAAUAGCAUACAAGGCCAAGUCUCCGGGAAGUUAGCACAACAUAACGAAGCCCGGUAGCAAUUCAAAGGAUAUGGUAUCUCUUUGAUUUUGUAACGACUUCAGUCUGGAAU